GACGGGGGAUGCAAGCGGUAUCCGGAAUCACUGGGCGUAAAGCGUCUGUAGGUGGUGAUGCAAGUCACUGGUGCAAAACUCUGGCUCAACCGGCGGAAAGCCAGUGAAACUGCAUGACUAGAGUGUGGGAGAGGUAGAAGGAAUUCCCUGAGUAGCGGUGAAAUGCGUAGAUACAGGGAAGAACACCGGAGGCGAAAGCGUUCUACUGGAACACAACUGACACUGAGAGACGAAAGCUAGGGGAGCGAAUAGG
Molecule: ribosomal RNA, 253 nt
Filed under: uncultured bacterium
Lineage: Bacteria
Description: partial 16S ribosomal RNA
Rfam family: Bacterial small subunit ribosomal RNA
Source: RNAcentral